CCUACGGUGGGCAGCAGUGGGGAAUAUUGCGCAAUGGGGGCAACCCUGACGCAGCCAUGCCGCGUGAAUGAAGAAGGCCUUCGGGUUGUAAAGUUCUUUCGGUAUUGAGGAAGGUUGAUGUGUUAAUAGUACAUCAAAUUGACGUUAAAUACAGAAGAAGCACCGGCUAACUCCGUGCCAGCAGCCGCGGUAAUACGGAGGGUGCGAGCGUUAAUCGGAAUAACUGGGCGUAAAGGGCACGCAGGCGGUUAUUUAAGUGAGGUGUGAAAGCCCCGGGCUUAACCUGGGAAUUGCAUUUCAGAUGGGGUAACUAGUACUUUAGGGAGGGGUAGAAUUCCACGUGUAGCGGUGAAAUGCGUAGAGAUGUGGAGGAAUACCGAAGGCGAAGGCAGCCCCUUGGGAAUGUACUGACGCUCAUGUGCGAAAGCGUGGGGAGCAAACAGGAUUAGAUACCCCAGUAGUC
RNAcentral lists this ribosomal RNA (463 nucleotides) under uncultured Haemophilus sp. RNAcentral describes it as "bacterial SSU rRNA". It matches the Rfam family "Bacterial small subunit ribosomal RNA", at positions 338 to 795 of the family's 1533-position model. Lineage: Bacteria; Pseudomonadati; Pseudomonadota; Gammaproteobacteria; Pasteurellales; Pasteurellaceae. The record is from RNAcentral.